UUGCACAAUGGGCGAAAGCCUGAUGCAGCAACGCCGCGUGAGUGAUGAAGGCCUUCGGGUUGUAAAGCUCUGUCUUUGGGGACGAUAAUGACGGUACCCAAGGAGGAAGCCACGGCUAACUACGUGCCAGCAGCCGCGGUAAUACGUAGGUGGCAAGCGUUAAUCGGAAUUACUGGGCGUAAAGGGUGCGCAGGCGGUCUUGCAAGUCAGAUGUGAAAGCCCCGGGCUUAACCUGGGAAUUGCGUUUGAAACUACAAGACUAGAGUGCAGCAGAGAGGAGUGGAAUUCCAUGUGUAGCAGUGAAAUGCGUAGAGAUGUGGAAGAACACCGAUGGCGAAGGCAGCUCCCUGGGUUGACACUGACGCUCAUGCACGAAAGCGUGGGGAGCAAACA
Molecule: ribosomal RNA, 393 nt
Filed under: uncultured bacterium
Lineage: Bacteria
Description: bacterial SSU rRNA
Rfam family: Bacterial small subunit ribosomal RNA
Source: RNAcentral